GAUGAAGAACGCAGCGAAAUGCGAUAAGUAGUGUGAAUUGCAGAAUUCAGUGAAUCAUCGAAUCUUUGAACGCACAUUGCGCCCCUUGGUAUUCCAUGGGGCAUCCCUGUUCGAGCGUCAUUUGUACCUUCAAGCUCUGCUUGGUGUUGGGUGUUUGUCUCGCCUCUGCGUGUAGACUCGCCUCAAAACAAUUGGCAGCCGGCGUAUUGAUUUCGGAGCGCAGUACAUCUCGCGCUUUGCACUCAUAACGACGACGUCCAAAAGUACAUUUUUACACUCUUGACCUCGGAUCAGGUAGGGAUACCCGCUGAACUUAAGCAUAUCAAUAAGCGGAGGA
This 337-nucleotide unclassified non-coding RNA is filed under the name soil metagenome. Its description in RNAcentral is "partial contains 5.8S ribosomal RNA, internal transcribed spacer 2, and large subunit ribosomal RNA". The stretch from base 1 to 120 matches the Rfam family "5.8S ribosomal RNA", at positions 35 to 154 of the family's 154-position model. The record is from RNAcentral.